This 252-nucleotide ribosomal RNA is filed under the name uncultured bacterium. Its description in RNAcentral is "partial 16S ribosomal RNA". It matches the Rfam family "Bacterial small subunit ribosomal RNA", at positions 524 to 776 of the family's 1533-position model. The record is from RNAcentral.
GACGAAGGAUGCAAGCGUUAUCCGGAUUCAUUGGGUUUAAAGGGAGCGUAGGUGGCCUUAUAAGUCAGUGGUGAAAUCUCUGGGCUUAACCCAGAAAUUGCCAUUGAUACUGUAGGGCUUGAGUAUAGUUCCGUUGGCGGAAUAUGACAUGUAGUGGUGAAAUACAUAGAGAUGUCAUAGAACACCGAUUGCGAAGGCAGCUGACGAAACUAUAACUGACACUGAGGCUCGGAAGUGCGGGGAUCAAACAGG